ACAGUUCAGACGAAUCGUGUGUCA
RNAcentral lists this non-coding RNA (24 nucleotides) under Rattus norvegicus (Norway rat). Lineage: Eukaryota; Metazoa; Chordata; Mammalia; Rodentia; Muridae. The record is from RNAcentral.